AGCAGCCGCGGUAAUUCCAGCUCCAAUAGCGUAUAUUAAAGUUGUUGCAGUUAAAAAGCUCGUAGUUGAAUUUCGGGAUUGACCCAUCGGUCGUGCCUUAAGAGGUAUGAACUGGUGUAGUCAAUUUCUCACCUUCUGGAGAACCGUGAUGUCCUUAAUUGGGUGCCACGAGGAACCAGGACCUUUACUUUGAAAAAAUUAGAGUGUUUAAAGCAGGCAUUUUUGCUUGAAUACAUUAGCAUGGAAUAAUAAAAUAGGACGGCAUGAUUCUAUUUUGUUGGUUUCUAGGAUCACCGUAAUGAUUAAUAGGGAUAGUCGGGGGCAUUAGUAUUCAAUUGUCAGAGGUGAAAUUCUUGGAUUUAUUGAAGACUAACUACUGCGAAAGCAUUUGCCAAGGAUGUUUUCAUUAAUCAAGAGCGAAAGUUAGGGGAUCGAAGACGAUCAGAUACCGUCGUAGUCUUAACCAUAAACUAUGCCGACUAGGAAUCAGACGAUGUUAAUUUUUAAUGACUCGUUUGGC
Molecule: ribosomal RNA, 520 nt
Filed under: uncultured Entrophospora
Lineage: Eukaryota; Fungi; Glomeromycota; Glomeromycetes; Entrophosporales; Entrophosporaceae
Description: SSU rRNA
Rfam family: Eukaryotic small subunit ribosomal RNA
Source: RNAcentral